AAGUUUGCACUAAUAUGUGUUCAUAAUAAGUCCGAGUUUUGUAUGAUUCGUCAGUAAAAUAUACAUUGGCAGUAAGGUAAUUUUUGAGUAGUCUCCAUGCUUCUUCAGAAUUUUCUUGCCCGGGAAUAUGCUGAUUUUCAAUAUAUAAUAUAAGCUCUCUAGCAUCCAGUUUUUCAUAUGAAGGCUUAUCGUCAGAAUUUUCUUGAACUAUGGACGCAAAAGAAUCUGCAGUUUUUUGUUGAUCUGAUAAAUAAGAUUGCAGUUGUUUGUAUAAUGGAUGAUUUUC
This 286-nucleotide long non-coding RNA is filed under the name Capsicum annuum. Its description in RNAcentral is "long non-coding RNA (CANN_LNC016029)". Lineage: Eukaryota; Viridiplantae; Streptophyta; Magnoliopsida; Solanales; Solanaceae. The record is from RNAcentral.